This 451-nucleotide ribosomal RNA is filed under the name uncultured bacterium. RNAcentral describes it as "partial 16S ribosomal RNA". It matches the Rfam family "Bacterial small subunit ribosomal RNA", at positions 28 to 507 of the family's 1533-position model. The record is from RNAcentral.
AGCGAACGCUGGCGGCAUGCCUAACACAUGCAAGUCGCACGGGGGGGCUUCGGCCUCCCAGUGGCGGACGGGUGAGGAACGCGUAGGGACCUGUCGAGGGGUGGGGGAUAACCGCGGGAAACUGCGGCUAAUACCGCAUGACGCCGCGGCGUGACAGCCGGGGCCAAAGGCGAAAGCCGCCCGCCGAGGGGCCUGCGUCCGAUUAGCUGGUUGGCGGGGUAGCGGCCCACCAAGGCGUCGAUCGGUAGCUGGUCUGAGAGGGUGAUCAGCCACACCGGGACUGAGACACGGCCCGGACUCCUACGGGAGGCAGCAGUGGGGAAUAUUGGACAAUGGGCGCAAGCCUGAUCCAGCAAUGCCGCGUGGGUGAAGAAGGUCUUCGGAUUGUAAAGCCCGUUCGGCGGGGACGAUGGUGACGGUACCCGCAGAAGAAGCCCCGGCUAACUUCGUG